Molecule: long non-coding RNA, 2170 nt
Organism: Colius striatus (speckled mousebird)
Lineage: Eukaryota; Metazoa; Chordata; Aves; Coliiformes; Coliidae
Exons: 3
Source: RefSeq, a predicted model, not a curated record
CCUCUUGAUCUUCCUCAAAAGAUUGCUGUUUUGAUGGAACUUUGUCUUUAUUUGGGAGGCAAAUUGUCAAAGCCUUUGUAACACCCGGUGGAAAGUGCUUGGACUGAUAGUUUGGAACUCGUGGUCUGCAGACCCUGACCAUCAUGGACUGAUUUUCAGGCAGUUCUGGAUACUGAAUAAGUAAAUCCAGUUCAAAUGAGUCAGUUUCAAGUUCCUGCUUUCAUUUUUCUAACUGCUGUGAAGCUCACAUACAAAUAAAGUAACGACCUGAGCUUUAGGUAAGAAAGAAACCUGUUAACUGUGCUGUGUCCAGGACUGAUGGUCAUCACUGGCUUACAAAUACUGGCAACUGUCUUGUUUACAUGUGGAUCUCUAAGGACUCAGGUAUUGCCCCAGAAAACACACCAGCUUGUCCAGGUGUGGAAGGCCUGUGGCGUGCCACAGCUCUCUUGUUUGAAAUGUUCCUGGUUUUCAUGUGAAGAAGGUAGUGUUUCAACACCAUUGCUUUGAGGAAUAUCUGACAGCACAUAUAGCUGCUUCUUUGAGCUAAACAGAUGUCACCUGCCUCAUUCUUAUUCCCAAAAAGACGGCAGUUAGUCCCCUGUGAUAGUUUGUAAGAUAAGUGGUUGUGUUCUUUCACUGAUUCUUCUCAUUUAGCGCAAGUUGAGUCACAAAAGGUUUUGUACAGGUCAGCACAACAGACUGUUCUCUUCAGUGGAAACCUGAGUUACUGGUAAAAACACCACGGCAAUCUCUAGCUGUUUGUUGAAGAGAAGGUUUUUUCCUCGUAUUCUCCUGGGCCUUUUGAAGAUAAAAGAACUUAGUGCACGUCAGUAUUCCAGUCACAAGUGCAGAGCACAGAACACGGGGAGACCUAUUCCACUCCAGUUAAGAAAUCUGGAGUUAAAACCAUGGGAAUGAGAGGAAUUACCGGGGUGUUUAAGCUUUAACAGCAGCUCUCUCCAAACACCGGGUAACCCUCGCAUUGGCCGUUGGAAGAGCCCAUCGUUCAGAUAGCCAGGCACAAAACCAAGAGAAAGCAGCUCUCAUGCAAGACAGCAAAUUGCUUAAAGCCACCAUGGGAGAUGCUUUGCAGCGACUACUACGCCAAUGGACUGCCAGUGAGACAUUCUGUGCCACAGCCCAGAAACUGAUGCCUAGAGAUGCCAUUUCUUGUCUCCAAGGGACUGGUUCUCCAUGGCUGGAGUGUGAGGUUCAUACCCAGGCUUCAAUAUUGGAAAUGCAGGAGCAUGGGGAACUGUGAGAUAAACAGACCCACUUUGAUGGUAAUGGCUUCUCGUUGUCUGCUUCAAAUCUGUGUAGCCUCUGCUUGGUGUCUUCCAAAUGAAGGAGGUAUGAAGCUAAGGUGCCCCAAGCCAAAUGCAGUCCCAGGCUGACCACAGUUACAUCAGAACCACCGCUGUGAGUGUCGGGCUCGCUCUGCCUGAGCUGAGAACUGGAGUGAGUGCAGCACCAAGCACAGGGCAGCUGAAGGCAUAGCGAGGGAAGGGAUUAAGACAGGCAAAACACCGCUGGAUUUCCUUGUUAGCCAGGUCACAGGAGGUACAUCAUGACACAAGGAGCCAGAGAAUGAAUCCCAAGCUAUGCUUAAGGGUAGCUUCCCUACAGAACCUAUUUCACCCUCUGCACUGCUAAAAAGCUUCUGGUAAGCAGUGAGAAAGGUGGCUUUAAGCAACUUAAGUCCAUUCCUCUGAUCCCAGGCCAACUGGGGACUGUUUAGGCCUCUGCAUAAGUCAAAGAAGCCUAAGGCUGUGCUUUCUGCCCUGUGCUGACAUGUCUCCUUCGGUGGAGGUGGGGAGAGCAGGUGGUAGGGAGAAGGCAUAGCCCUGCCUGGAUCCUCCUGUCUGUAAGAGCAGAGCUGCAGGGCAGCUCUCUGCCUGCUUUUGUGCUGUUGAGGCAAAUAUUGCACCGAGUGUUGAGUCUGCUCUGCACAGAACAACGAGUUAACUUCAGAGAUCUAUUUAUUUAUUUUAGCAUAAAAUACUCUCGAGGGCUUCUGAUCUGGAUGGGUUGUGAGUCAACAGAUGCUUCAUUUAUUCCAGUAUCACAGUGUGAUGCUGCCCUGGGCUUGUUUCUGAUUUUGAGGCGCUGCAGUGGAGUUUCGAUAGCUGGGCAGCUUUCAGGAUUGGCAGCUCAGCCAGCAGACGAG